RNAcentral lists this ribosomal RNA (254 nucleotides) under uncultured bacterium. RNAcentral describes it as "partial 16S ribosomal RNA". It matches the Rfam family "Bacterial small subunit ribosomal RNA", at positions 524 to 776 of the family's 1533-position model. The record is from RNAcentral.
UACGGGGGGAGCAAGCGUUGUUCGGAUUUACUGGGCGUAAAGGGCGCGUAGGCGGCCAGCACAAGUCAGUUGUGAAAUCUCCGAGCUUAACUCGGAAAGGUCAACUGAUACUGUGCGGCUAGAGUGCGGAAGGGGCAACUGGAAUUCUUGGAGUAGCGGUGAAAUGCGUAGAUAUCAAGAGGAACACCUGCGGCGAAGGCGACUCUUUGGUCUGUAACUGACGCUGAGGCGCGAAAGCGUGGGGAGCAAACAGG